GCUGGUUGUGGUGGUGCAUACCUGUAAUCCCAGCAGCUCAGGAGGCUGAGGCAGGAGGAUCAGAGUAUGAAGCCAGUCUCAGCAACUUAUUGAGGCUGUAAAGCAACCUAGUGAGAGCCUGUCUCAA
RNAcentral lists this small RNA (127 nucleotides) under Marmota monax (woodchuck). Lineage: Eukaryota; Metazoa; Chordata; Mammalia; Rodentia; Sciuridae. The record is from RNAcentral.